ACGAGGGGGGCAAGCGUUGUUCGGAUUUAUUGGGCGUAAAGGGUGCGUAGGCGGUUUGGCAAGUCUUGUGUGAAAUCUUCGGGCUCAACCCGAAGCCUGCACAAGAAACUGCCGGGCUUGAGUAUGGGAGAGGUGAGUGGAAUUUCCGGUGUAGCGGUGAAAUGCGUAGAUAUCGGAAGGAACACCUGUGGCGAAAGCGGCUCACUGGACCAUAACUGACGCUGAGGCACGAAAGCUAGGGGAGCAAACAGGAUUAGAUACCCUGGUAGUCCUAGCCCUAAACGAUGAUUGCUUGAUGUGGCAGGUACCCAAUCCUGCCGUGUCGAAGCUAACGCGAUAAGCAAUCCGCCUGGGGAGUACGGUCGCAAGGCUG
Molecule: ribosomal RNA, 373 nt
Filed under: uncultured bacterium
Lineage: Bacteria
Description: bacterial SSU rRNA
Rfam family: Bacterial small subunit ribosomal RNA
Source: RNAcentral